RNAcentral lists this transfer RNA (88 nucleotides) under Candidatus Roizmanbacteria bacterium CG_4_10_14_0_2_um_filter_39_13. RNAcentral's name for it is "tRNA-Ser". It matches the Rfam family "tRNA". Rfam says of the family: Transfer RNA (tRNA) molecules are approximately 80 nucleotides in length. Their secondary structure includes four short double-helical elements and three loops (D, anti-codon, and T loops). The record is from RNAcentral. Lineage: Bacteria; Candidatus Roizmaniibacteriota. RNAcentral also lists the same sequence under 1 other name.
GGAGGUGUCGCCUAGUGGCCCAUGGCACAGGUUUGCUAAACCUGCGGGUGGUAAAACACCCACGUGGGUUCAAAUCCCACCACCUCCG